This 465-nucleotide ribosomal RNA is filed under the name uncultured Klebsiella sp. RNAcentral describes it as "bacterial SSU rRNA". It matches the Rfam family "Bacterial small subunit ribosomal RNA", at positions 338 to 795 of the family's 1533-position model. Lineage: Bacteria; Pseudomonadati; Pseudomonadota; Gammaproteobacteria; Enterobacterales; Enterobacteriaceae. The record is from RNAcentral.
CCUACGGGAGGCUGCAGUGGGGAAUAUUGCACAAUGGGCGCAAGCCUGAUGCAGCCAUGCCGCGUGUGUGAAGAAGGCCUUCGGGUUGUAAAGCACUUUCAGCGGGGAGGAAGGCGGUGAGGUUAAUAACCUCAUCGAUUGACGUUACCCGCAGAAGAAGCACCGGCUAACUCCGUGCCAGCAGCCGCGGUAAUACGGAGGGUGCAAGCGUUAAUCGGAAUUACUGGGCGUAAAGCGCACGCAGGCGGUCUGUCAAGUCGGAUGUGAAAUCCCCGGGCUCAACCUGGGAACUGCAUUCGAAACUGGCAGGCUAGAGUCUUGUAGAGGGGGGUAGAAUUCCAGGUGCAGCGGUGAAAUGCGUAGAGAUCUGGAGGAAUACCGGUGGCGAAGGCGGCCCCCUGGACAAAGACUGACGCUCAGGUGCGAAAGCGUGGGGAGCAAACAGGAUUAGAUACCCUAGUAGUC